CAACUCUGCUCUGCUUUCCCUUCCCCUGGGCAUGGUGAGCCUUCCCCCGGGGCCAUGCUGGAACUGCUGCCAUUCCCUGCUGUCUCCUCUAUCCUUCCUAUAGUCUUCAGGCUCCUUAGCAAGAGCUGCAGUGGAUGAUACCAAGUGAGGCCCUAAGAGGUGGAGGACCAGAGGAUGGGAUUCCCCUUGUGUUGCUGUGGAAACCGUUGGAAGGGAAGCAGCAAAACCAGGGCUGGCAGGGAGUGCUGGGCGGUGUGCGGGGCGGCUGCAGAGGCAGGGCUGUGCUGACAUCACGUGGGGAGGCGGCGUGGGGAAGGGAGAGCAAGGGAGGCUGCAGAGGGAAGAGAGCUGCAUCCGACUGGGCUCCAGGCAAGCUACUGCCAGCAUCUUUUUGUUUUUUGAAACUACCUGGGAGAGAAUGGAAGCACAGAGAAACUGCUGAAGUCAUUUGACUCCUGUCAGUCUCAGCUGCUCUCUUGGUUCUGCUCCAAGAGCUCAUCCUCCCUGCUUGCUUCUCCAAGGAAGGUGAUGAGGACAGUCAAUGGGAUUCAUGUGGCCAAGCGCAUUGCUGAUAUAAAUCCCAGCCCACAGGCUCCAGGAGAACUUGGCUCAGCUGCUGCCAAGAGAAGAAAAGCUUCCUAUCAUACAGUAGGCCCAGCGCAGGGCAAGACCAGGGCUGCAAGACAAGGUACCCAUAGCAAGGCUCCAUGGCUGUGAAUAACACUUCCUUGCAAACACUCAAAGGCAUCAGCUCCCUGGAGCUGGAUUUCCACUGGCUCCAUCUCAGGUGGUGAAUGGCUGGAUAGUAGUUCUGGGCUCCAGUUUCCUCUGACUGAAGGAGACCACAGUUUGUUCUGCCACAGGGACAGCAGAAACACCCUUACUGUGUACUGUUAGCAUCUCUGCAUGCUUCCACUAUUUCCAAACCAAACAAGAUCACAAAGAGACCCAAGAGAAAUCCACUUCCCCUCUUCACUGGAACUCCUCUUUCUGCCUCCCCUAUGCCUUUGUUGCCAUCUCUUGCAUGCCAAAUGCAGGAACAAACACCGGCGUUUGGCAGGGCUCAAAGCCUUGGCUUCUCAGACGGGAAAGAGGCGUUCUUGGUCCAUAGCCCAGAGACAGAGUUCUGCUCCCUGUCCACUGCCAGGUUAUCCAGCUGCAGUUUUGGUGCUCAUCCCAUGCAGUGAGCGCUGCUCUUAAUGCUGGGACCAGGCAGCACCCCUGGGUGCUGGGCUGUGAAUCCAGGGGGAGCGGGUCAGAACAGCCAGGGCAGAAACCAGAGCUACGUGAGCCCUGGCACACUGCUGUGCUGCGGCCAAGCUGCAUGUCCCAGCAGGAAGCGCAGGAGUCAGAGCUGCCCUGAGAGGCUUUUCCCCAAAUACACAUGACUGCAGGGGGCAGGGAAAUGCAAAGGGAGGCUCUGUAAAGCCAGAAUGCCUCUGGUUUGUGAAAAUAGGGCUGUUAUUGCCAACAGUUUUCCCCAAGAGAUUGCAGAGCAUAGCUGGAGAGGGAUCCUGUAACUCACGGGCAGCUGGCAUGCUGCCUUCCCACCAGGUGCUCCAUCACUGCUUCAGGCCGUGACUUAGCAUUUCCCCUACGCUGCUACUGCUUCCCUCUCCCCUGCCCAUCUUGUUCUGCUCCAGGGCCACAGCACAGGAUGGUACACAGGACUGUUGUGAGAGCAGUUCCAGUCUGAGCCAGGCUAUAGGGCAGGGGCUUGGCAGCCAAGCAUCAGGCUGAGAAAAGAUCAC
Long non-coding RNA from Gallus gallus (chicken), 1751 nucleotides. Lineage: Eukaryota; Metazoa; Chordata; Aves; Galliformes; Phasianidae. The record is from Ensembl.